Molecule: ribosomal RNA, 353 nt
Filed under: uncultured bacterium
Lineage: Bacteria
Description: bacterial SSU rRNA
Rfam family: Bacterial small subunit ribosomal RNA
Source: RNAcentral
AGAGUUUGAUCAUGGCUCAGGAUGAACGCUAGCUACAGGCUUAACACAUGCAAGUCGAGGGGAAACGACAUCGAAAGCUUGCUUUUGAUGGGCGUCGACCGGCGCACGGGUGAGUAACGCGUAUCCAACCUGCCCACCACUUGGGGAUAACCUUGCGAAAGUAAGACUAAUACCCAAUGACGUCUCUAGAAGACAUCUGAAAGAGAUUAAAGAUUUAUCGGUGAUGGAUGGGGAUGCGUCUGAUUAGCUUGUUGGCGGGGUAACGGCCACCAGGCGACGAUCAGUAGGGGUUCUGAGAGGAACGGUCCCCANAUUGGAACUGAGACACGGUCCAAACGUCCGUACGGGAGGCA